ACACACACACAUGCCUAGUGAAGUAUUAAGCAUGUGUAAGAGCUAGCUGUGGUUACACACCUGUAAUUCUAGUUCUCUAGAGGGGGAGGGUCAGGGGAAUGCUUUAUCGAGCCAAUGGAAAGGAGCGUUUUGGUUCAAAAGGCAGAAUUUUGAUUGUGACCCAAAAGAUUAGAUGGAGCCCAGGCGCCGGCGGGCCUUUCUGGAACAAGGAAAGGGAGUGGAAGCUUUGGCGGUGCAGCUGGCGAUCCGUUUCGGAUUCCUCAUUCUUUGUUGUGAUUACUUUGCGCGGAUUUGGCCUGAUAACAAACGCUCUUCGUGCCUGCCUGUUUCCCGGUCUGGGCUCAGCACCGAGGAUUACUACCCACCCCCGACCCCCCAACCCCUAUUACAGAUUUUGCUUUGGAGAAGCACUGGGGCAGAGUUUGGUACAGCCGCUGUGAGCACUAAUGCAGUUGCCCUGCUCCUGAGCUACCUUGGUGUCACACCUGCUCCACCUGCUGGCCAAACGUUGUCACUAAAUCUACACGACCCAAUUCUCUGAGGAUCGAAACUCUGGUGAAUCGCUUGAGAACGUUUAAACGGGAGAGGUGGAUAGCAAGGUGGAAGCUUCACCCUUGCCCCUGGCAUUCAUAUACCCAGAGUCUGGAAUGUUAUCCUCAGCCUGGCGGAGAAUAACGCGACACAGACUUGGUGACUCUCAUUGCCCUCUCUGAGCCAAGGGUAACGCUGCAGGUAUUGGGGUUUCUGUCUCGCGCAAUCGCCUCGCCAGCAAGAACCACACAGGACAUUCGGAUCCUUCU
This is a non-coding RNA of Cricetulus griseus (Chinese hamster), 800 nucleotides long. Lineage: Eukaryota; Metazoa; Chordata; Mammalia; Rodentia; Cricetidae. The record is from RefSeq and is a predicted model, not a curated record.